Molecule: ribosomal RNA, 372 nt
Filed under: uncultured organism
Description: partial 16S ribosomal RNA
Rfam family: Bacterial small subunit ribosomal RNA
Source: RNAcentral
GUAGGUGGCAAGCGUUGUCCGGAAUUAUUGGGCGUAAAGCGCGCGCAGGCGGUUCUUUAAGUCUGAUGUGAAAGCCCACGGCUCAACCGUGGAGGGUCAUUGGAAACUGGAGAACUUGAGUACAGAAGAGGAAAGCGGAAUUCCACGUGUAGCGGUGAAAUGCGUAGAGAUGUGGAGGAACACCAGUGGCGAAGGCGGCUUUCUGGUCUGCAACUGACGCUGAGGCGCGAAAGCGUGGGGAGCAAACAGGAUUAGAUACCCUGGUAGUCCACGCCGUAAACGAUGAGUGCUAAGUGUUAGGGGGUUUCCGCCCCCCUUAGUGCUGCAGCUAACGCAUUAAGCACUCCGCCUGGGAGUACGGCCGCAAGGCUG